This 1809-nucleotide long non-coding RNA is filed under the name Helianthus annuus (common sunflower). RNAcentral's name for it is "hypothetical non coding rna". The record is from RNAcentral. Lineage: Eukaryota; Viridiplantae; Streptophyta; Magnoliopsida; Asterales; Asteraceae.
GGUGUGUGCUACGAUCGAACAGGAGAAAAGAAAAAGGGGGUGUGAACCCUAAACCUCAAGAAAUCAUCAAAUUGAAAAGGGAAUCAGGGUUGAUUGUAUGCAUGAACCAAGGAUGAUGAUCCCUUAAGCAUUUCUAACAUCAACGUAGGAGCCAUGUCAACAUGGACACGAGCAUGGAAGGGCAAUGGGUCAACGGUAAAUACGGAAGCUAUGCAUGAACUCGGACGCACGAGGUAGCGUUAGUUAAUUGAGCAUGGUGAUGAUUGAAGUUUGAUAUGGUUUUGGUUGUAUGAAAUCGGUAAUUUUAGCUAAGUAGACCGAACGGGACAAUAUAAAGUUGUAAUGAUAUGACAGAUUGAUGUAAUGCUACGGUAUUGUAACCGGGUAAUGGGUAGAAUUGCACAUAAGUGCGCCAACCGAGAAUGGGGACUUAGGUUAAUGGUCAAAAGACUUAGCUUUUGACCUUAAAUAAAAGAAUGGUUUAACAAAAUACGAACAGGUCGAAUAAAUGUGCAUAAACUUCAUAAUGCUAAUGAAAUGCGUAAAGAUUAAGGACCCGGGUAAGGGCGUUUAGCCCAUAAUGUAAGGACAAGUCUUACGGACAACUAGAAAUAAUCGUGAGCAAUUUGAUUGAGGAAUGUCUGAGAUACGCAAGUUUUAAUAAUAAAAAUAUGAAUGGGUUGAAUAGUCGAAACGAGUAUGUAGAGCCGAAGGCUUUAAGUUAAGAUUUUUCCUUGUUUGGAUGUUAUAUUACAAGCUCAUAUGUUAGAAAAUCGAUUUACCAACGCAUAGGAAAAAGAAUCAUGUUAAUCGGAUUCGUAGAUCAAAAGUUAUGCAAAUUGUAAGUCGAAAAUACCCUUGGAAUUCAUAGCUGGGAAUUUACAGCAGCAAAUUGGAAGUUUCUGUCGAAAUAGAGCUGUCGCGCCCCGCGAGCGCCAGUCAGCUGGAAAAUUUUGGUUUUCUUGUUUGAUUUUGCAUCCGGACUCGAUGUUUUAAUGAUUUUCGGUGUCCCUUAACUUAUAUUAAAGCCGGUUUGAAUCACGAGUGAUGUUAUGAGCCUCCGGAUAAUGAAAGUAUGUAUUUUUCUUCGUGUUAGAGAAGAAAGAUUAUAAGUAAUCGAGACUAGAAAUGAGUGGGCAUGCAGUAUGGUAAGUAUAAAACUUAUAUCAUGGAAGUUGCGAUUAUGAUAAGAAAUGCGAGAUUAAGUGAAUAAAAGUAGUAAGCGAGGGCUCGCGUCUAUGUGUGUGUAUGUGAAUGUGUGCGUAUGUAUGUAGGUGUAUAUGUUGUAUGUAUGUAGGAAUUAGGAACGUAUACGUUUGUGGAUGCGAGAUGUUAUAAGUAUAUGAAGGAAUGGUUUGGACUGGUUUCAUUAUGUUCUAGCAUUAAUGUUUGCUAAUCGUGUGUUUGAGAUUGGAAUGAAAUGCAGGUACAUGAACACCGGGUUCAUGAAGUAUCGAAGUCGAAUUCGGAACAAGAAAAUACGAAAGGAUAGUUGAAUGAAUUAAAGUUCCUACUGUUAAAUUUUAUUCAAUAUUGGACUAUAUGAGAAUCAUGUCGUAUGAUAUUGUUAAUGACUAAUGGUUAUGAUGUAUGCGAUGUCCACAGGUAUUGCACGGAUUACCGCUACUACUACCGAAGAUAAGCAAGCGUUGAUCGAGUCACGGAGCAAGGGUUGUACGGAAAUAUGUAUUGUCUUGAAGCGUUAAUUUAAUGUGGUUAUUGUAAAUCCCUUUUGUAAAUGUUUAUCAUUUGUAUUUGAGCCUUCAAGUAAGUAAUGUGUCUAAAUAAGAAAGAAAUUUUUGGGCUCGU